Molecule: ribosomal RNA, 569 nt
Filed under: uncultured Luteococcus sp.
Lineage: Bacteria; Bacillati; Actinomycetota; Actinomycetes; Propionibacteriales; Propionibacteriaceae
Description: bacterial SSU rRNA
Rfam family: Bacterial small subunit ribosomal RNA
Source: RNAcentral
UCCUACGGGAGGCAGCAGUGGGGAAUAUUGCACAAUGGGCGCAAGCCUGAUGCAGCAACGCCGCGUGCGGGAUGACGGCCUUCGGGUUGUAAACCGCUUUCAGCAGGGACGAAGCUAACGUGACGGUACCUGCAGAAGAAGCACCGGCCAACUACGUGCCAGCAGCCGCGGUGAUACGUAGGGUGCGAGCGUUGUCCGGAAUUAUUGGGCGUAAAGAGCUUGUAGGCGGUUUGUUGCGUCAGAAGUGAAAACUCAGGGCUUAACCCUGAGCCUGCUUCUGAUACGGGCAGACUAGAGGAAGUUAGGGGAGAACGGAAUUCCUGGUGGAGCGGUGGAAUGCGCAGAUAUCAGGAGGAACACCGGUGGCGAAGGCGGUUCUCUGGGACUUUCCUGACGCUGAGAAGCGAAAGCGUGGGGAGCAAACAGGCUUAGAUACCCUGGUAGUCCACGCCGUAAACGGUGGGUACUAGGUGUGGGUCACAUUCCACGUGAUCCGUGCCGCAGCUAACGCAUUAAGUACCCCGCCUGGGGAGUACGGCCGCAAGGCUAAAACUCAAAGGAAUUGACGG